Molecule: ribosomal RNA, 241 nt
Filed under: uncultured Staphylococcus sp.
Lineage: Bacteria; Bacillati; Bacillota; Bacilli; Caryophanales; Staphylococcaceae
Description: partial 16S ribosomal RNA
Rfam family: Bacterial small subunit ribosomal RNA
Source: RNAcentral
CGGACUGGUGAGUAACACGUGGAUAACCUACCUAUAAGACUGGGAUAACUUCGGGAAACCGGAGCUAAUACCGGAUAAUAUUUUGAACCGCAUGGUUCAAAAGUGAAAGACGGUCUUGCUGUCACUUAUAGAUGGAUCCGCGCUGCAUUAGCUAGUUGGUAAGGUAACGGCUUACCAAGGCAACGAUGCAUAGCCGACCUGAGAGGGUUAUCGGCCACACUGGAACUGAGACACGGUCCAG